RNAcentral lists this ribosomal RNA (798 nucleotides) under epibiont metagenome. RNAcentral's name for it is "bacterial SSU rRNA". It matches the Rfam family "Bacterial small subunit ribosomal RNA", at positions 601 to 1533 of the family's 1533-position model. The record is from RNAcentral.
CCUUCGGCUCAACCGUGGACAGCUUCUAAACUGAAUAACUAGAGUCUGGAAAGAAGAUGGAAUUAGUAGUGUAGGGGUAAAAAUCCGUAGAGAUUACUAGGAAUACCGAAAGCGAAGGCGAUCUUCUGGAACAGAACUGACGCUGAGAUGCGAAAGCGUGGGGAGCAAACAGGAUUAGAUACCCUGGUAGUCCACGCCCUAAACGAUGAAUGUUAGUCGUUGGAGUGCUAGCCACUUCAGUGAUGCAGCUAACGCAUUAAACAUUCCGCCUGGGGAGUACGGCCGCAAGGUUAAAACUCAAAGGAAUAGACGGGGACCCGCACAAGUGGUGGAGCAUGUGGUUUAAUUCGAAGAUACGCGAAGAACCUUACCUGGCCUUGACAUAUACCAGAAUCUACCAGAGAUGGUGGAGUGCCUUCGGGAGCUGGUAUACAGGUGCUGCACGGCUGUCGUCAGCUCGUGUCGUGAGAUGUUGGGUUAAGUCCCGCAACGAGCGCAACCCUCGUGACUAGUUACUAACAGCAUAGGCUGAGGACUCUAGUCAGACUGCCUUCGUAAGGAGGAGGAAGGUGAGGACGACGUCAAGUCAUCAUGGCCCUUACGGCCAGGGCGACACACGUGCUACAAUGGGAAGGACAAAGAGAAGCAAAACUGUGAGGUGGAGCAAAUCUAUAAACCUUCUCUCAGUUCGGAUUGCAGUCUGCAACUCGACUGCAUGAAGCUGGAAUCACUAGUAAUCGUGAAUCAAGCCAUGUCCGGUGAAUAGGUUCCCGGGAAAAAUCUCUAAUAUCGCUCAUU